CAAACCCUAAAACCAAUUCCCCUUCUCCCAUCUCUCACAUUCGGUUCUCCCCUCCCCCGCCGACGCAAUCUACCCCACCGCGCCCCGCCCCUCCCACCGCUGCGAUCUGCUUCGCCGGACCACCCCGCUCCCUUCCACCGCCGCGAUCUGCCCCCUCCCAUGUCCACACCGGUUCUUUCUCUCCCAAAAUUCUCAAAUCCUAAUUUCACAGACUCUCAUCUCCUGCUUCAAUUCGCUGCAGUCCGGUCCUCUGAGGCGCGACAAGACCCCGCCGCACCGCCUUCACCCGCCGUCGCGCCGCCCUGCCCAUCGCGACCAGAGCAGUCCGCCAGUUGCGCGCUUCGAUUCGCUGCAGUCCGGUCCUCUGGGGCGCGACAAGACCCCGCCGCACCGCCUUCAGCCGCCGUCGCGCCGCCCUGCCCGUCGCGACCAGAGCAGUCCGCCAGUUGCGCGCCAGGUAGGAUUCUAAUUUUUAUAACAAAGGAAACUUAAACCCUAGGUUUUUAUCUAUAAAUUCAUUACCUUGAAUUAUUAACGCCA
RNAcentral lists this long non-coding RNA (540 nucleotides) under Salvia miltiorrhiza (redroot sage). Its description in RNAcentral is "long non-coding RNA (SMIL_LNC012138)". Lineage: Eukaryota; Viridiplantae; Streptophyta; Magnoliopsida; Lamiales; Lamiaceae. The record is from RNAcentral.